This 405-nucleotide ribosomal RNA is filed under the name uncultured Protaspa. RNAcentral's name for it is "partial small subunit ribosomal RNA". It matches the Rfam family "Eukaryotic small subunit ribosomal RNA", at positions 30 to 432 of the family's 1831-position model. Lineage: Eukaryota; Cercozoa; Thecofilosea; Cryomonadida. The record is from RNAcentral.
GCUUGUCUCAAAGAUUAAGCCAUGCAUGUCUAAGUAUAAACAAAUUUAUAGUGAAACUGCGAAUGGCUCAUUAUAUCAGUUAUAGUUUAUUUGGCGAUAAAAACUACUUGGAUAACCGUAGUAAUUCUAGAGCUAAUACAUGCGUAAAGUCCCGACUCUUGCGGGGAGGGAUGUAUUUAUUAGAUAAAAAACCAAUGCGGCCUCUGGUCGGUAUUGUGGUGAAUCAUAGUAACUUUUCGAAUCGCAUGGCUUCACGCCGGCGAUAGUUCAUUCAAAUUUCUGCCCUAUCAGCUUUCGACGGUAGUGUAGUGGACUACCGUGGCGUUAACGGGUAACGGAGAAUUAGGGUUCGAUUCCGGAGAGGGAGCCUGAGAAACGGCUACCACAUCCAAGGAAGGCAGCAGG